Non-coding RNA from Ciona intestinalis (vase tunicate), 66 nucleotides. NCBI's taxonomy places the organism in Eukaryota, Metazoa, Chordata, Ascidiacea, Phlebobranchia, Cionidae. The record is from RefSeq and is marked provisional.
UUUUGAUCUUUCCUGUGCUUUAACCGUGGGGACAAAUUUUUUACAGUAGUUGGUGUAGGUUGAAAG